GCCUAGCUAGCUCAAUCGGUAGAGCGUGUGACUCUUAAAAUUCUUCAUCAAAAAGAAAAUAAGUCAUCACAAGGUUGGGGGUUCGACCCCCCCGUUGGGCU
This 101-nucleotide transfer RNA is filed under the name Nadsonia fulvescens var. elongata DSM 6958. It matches the Rfam family "tRNA". Rfam says of the family: Transfer RNA (tRNA) molecules are approximately 80 nucleotides in length. Their secondary structure includes four short double-helical elements and three loops (D, anti-codon, and T loops). Further hydrogen bonds mediate the characteristic L-shaped molecular structure. tRNAs have two regions of fundamental functional importance: the anti-codon, which is responsible for specific mRNA codon recognition, and the 3' end, to which the tRNAs corresponding amino acid is attached (by aminoacyl-tRNA synthetases). tRNAs cope with the degeneracy of the genetic code in two manners: having more than one tRNA (with a specific anti-codon) for a particular amino acid; and 'wobble' base-pairing, i.e. permitting non-standard base-pairing at the 3rd anti-codon position. Lineage: Eukaryota; Fungi; Ascomycota; Dipodascomycetes; Dipodascales. The record is from Rfam by way of RNAcentral.